RNA transcript from Culicoides brevitarsis, 1985 nucleotides. It is a transcript of the gene named cell division cycle 7-related protein kinase, with no coding region annotated. Lineage: Eukaryota; Metazoa; Arthropoda; Insecta; Diptera; Ceratopogonidae. The record is from RefSeq and is a predicted model, not a curated record. The transcript is spliced from 3 exons.
AACACAGCAGUACGCUCCCAAAACAUUCAAAUUUCCAAAGACGACAUUUCAUCACUUUUAACCUCUAUUUAGAAUGUAAAACUGAAAUUUUGUCCGUGAAUUCAGUAUGAAGGACAAAGCUGCAUCCAAGCCAGCUGAAAACAAGCAGCUCAUUUUCGGAAUACCUGGCGUCGAUGAGAUCCUAAAUUUGCACAAAAAAAUCGGAUCUGGCACCUUCAGCUCGGUCUAUUUGGCAUCUUUGAAGUCUGAGGCGCAUAUUUCGCGUGAAAAUCGUCGAUUUUUCGCGGUAAAGCGUCUCAUUCCGACCUCGAGCCCCAAACGAAUUGAACAAGAGUUAAAGUGUCUCGUGAAUAUCGGCGGCGUAGAUAACGUGGGCGGCAUCGAGGCAUGUGUGCGACAUCAGGAUCAGGUUGCUUUCAUCAUGCCGUACUUGGCUCAUGACAAAUUUCACGAAUAUUUCGACAAAAUGAGUGUGAAUGAGGCACGGUUGUACUUGAAAAAUCUGCUGCUGGCUCUGAGACGCGUUCACAGCUUCAACAUGAUCCAUCGCGAUGUCAAGCCGAGCAACUUUUUGUACAAUCGACGCGACCAAAAGUGGAUGUUGGUUGAUUUUGGGCUUGCGCAAGAAGUGAAAGAGUACAAAAAGGAGGAAAGUAAGCCUUCGACAUCGUCUCAAACACAAAAAAGACCCCUCAAGGAAGUCUCUGAUGAGAAUGAAAAUGUCACGACGAGCAAUUCGGGGCAACAACCGCCAAGUAAAAGAAUUUGUUUGGAGUCAAAGCCAAAAAAUAAUGAAAAAUCCACGAAAAAAGAGUCAAUUAACGUACCAGAUAGCAUUUUCAAGAGUCCCCUUCGAACGAGUAACGCUUCAAAUCUACCAAGUUACUAUCAAACGCCUCUCGCAACUGCCGUGAAAUCAACUUGCAUCGGCCUAAGUGUCAAUUUACGCAUGAUGGAGCCUCAUCGUCGUACCGCAACCCCAAAUUCCGUCACACGAUCAACCUCAAGUGCAGGAAUUGGCGCUGCCACAAACGUUUGUUACUGCUACGGCAAGAGUCAAGUGUGCAAUAUUUGCAUCGUGAAGAAGGAAGUGCAAGCGAGUCGCGCUGGAACGCCCGGAUAUCGCCCGCCCGAAGUCCUUCUCAAGUAUCCGCACCAAAAUACCGCUGUCGACAUCUGGUCUGUCGGCAUAAUUUUCCUCUCGAUCCUUUCGAAAUGCUAUCCGUUCUUCAAGGCGCACGACGACUUCAACGCUUUAGCUGAACUUGUGACACUUUUCGGCGACAAACGCAUGAAACAACUCGCCGCAUCGCUCGAACGUCACAUGAAAAUCGGACAAAAACGCCCGGCACUCAAUUUACGCAAAAUUUGUGUGAUUUUAAGCAACCGCAAGCCAAUUACGGAGAACGAGAUUUUAGAUCCAAAACCAGGAACGUCAUCGUCGUCGUCGUCGUCAUUUUUGAUGAUGAGCAACAACACGAGCAACUUACAAGACUGUCAACACUGCCAACAAAAAUUGAAUAAUUGUUUGUGCGCUUCUUCAGCGAUCAUUCCGUCGUUGCAUGGCACGGAUAUGUGGCCGACGGAAGCUUAUAAUUUACUUUAUCGUAUGCUUGAACUUGAUCCGCGCAAGAGAAUUACGGCAAAAGAAGCGCUUGAACAUCCCUUUUUUACGAUGGAAUGCACCGAUGAGGCGGAAAAUUCACAAAAGUCAGGAGAAUAGGAAAUUUUUAGGAAAUAUUUUGCGUGUAAAUGUUUGACGAGGCUGGUAAAAUUGUCGAACAUGUUUUGGAUUUCAUAAUUUUUAAUUUUUUUUGAGAAAAUUUCGGAGAGAAAGUUUUCAUCGAAUAUUUAAAAAGAUGAUUGACCGAAAUGUAAGUUUAACAGUUACUUAAACACAGAGUACUCUCAUUAGCACCUAAGUUUCAAGUAUUUAUAAACGAUUUAUUUGUGUGAUCUAUCAAUAAAAGAAUAUUUUUACGAAG